GGAUAGAUGUCCGAGUGGUUGAAGGAGCACGCCUGGAAAGCGUGUGUAGGGGCAACUCUACCGGGGGUUCGAAUCCCCCUCUAUCCGCCA
Molecule: transfer RNA, 90 nt
Filed under: Clostridiaceae bacterium UIB06
Lineage: Bacteria; Bacillati; Bacillota; Clostridia; Eubacteriales; Clostridiaceae
Description: tRNA-Ser
Rfam family: tRNA
About the family: Transfer RNA (tRNA) molecules are approximately 80 nucleotides in length. Their secondary structure includes four short double-helical elements and three loops (D, anti-codon, and T loops). Further hydrogen bonds mediate the characteristic L-shaped molecular structure. tRNAs have two regions of fundamental functional importance: the anti-codon, which is responsible for specific mRNA codon recognition, and the 3' end, to which the tRNAs corresponding amino acid is attached (by aminoacyl-tRNA synthetases). tRNAs cope with the degeneracy of the genetic code in two manners: having more than one tRNA (with a specific anti-codon) for a particular amino acid; and 'wobble' base-pairing, i.e. permitting non-standard base-pairing at the 3rd anti-codon position.
Source: RNAcentral